Molecule: ribosomal RNA, 253 nt
Filed under: uncultured bacterium
Lineage: Bacteria
Description: partial 16S ribosomal RNA
Rfam family: Bacterial small subunit ribosomal RNA
Source: RNAcentral
UACGAAGGGGGCUAGCGUUGCUCGGAAUCACUGGGCGUAAAGCGCACGUAGGCGGACUCUUAAGUCGGUGGUGAAAUCCUGGAGCUCAACUCCAGAACUGCCUUCGAUACUGAGAGUCUCGAGUCCGGGAGAGGUGAGUGGAACUGCGAGUGUAGAGGUGAAAUUCGUAGAUAUUCGCAAGAACACCAGUGGCGAAGGCGGCUCACUGGCCCGGUACUGACGCUGAGGUGCGAAAGCGUGGGUAGCAAACGGG